Molecule: ribosomal RNA, 432 nt
Filed under: Triticum aestivum (bread wheat)
Lineage: Eukaryota; Viridiplantae; Streptophyta; Magnoliopsida; Poales; Poaceae
Description: partial small subunit ribosomal RNA
Source: RNAcentral
AUGGAUCGAGGUUGGAUGAGUAAACCAAGAUCAACUACUGAUUAUAAAGAAGGUGUCGAGCAAUUUCUAUCUUUUGCCUUCCAUGAUGUUCCACUCGGUGAUAAAAUUCUCUGUCCCUGUGUAAAUUGUGGAAAUAAGGCAACGCAGAAUUACGACGAAGUGAAAACCCACCUAAGAUGUGAUGGUAUUCUUCAGGGUUAUACAAAAUGGGUUUGCCAUGGAGAAGAGUAUGAUUCACCGUCAUUUGCAUUUGCUCCCAUGUCAAAUAACAACAACAAUUUUCAUAUUCCGGGUUUUCCAGUGAAUUCUGAUGUAGAAGGCAGUAAUAGAAGAUUGCAUGACAUUUCUGGGCUCUUAAGUGCCAUUUUCCCCAUGGCUGACAGCUUCCAAUCACUAUCAAGCGCAUCUGAUGGGGAACUAGAUGGUGUUUAG